CUCCGCAAGAAGCACACACAGCGGAUCCCAGCCUUCGGGUUCUGGAAGCGUGAAUCUAUCGAUUUGUUGGACUUCCCUCGUUUCUUUUCCCCUCCUGCAAUUAACCAAGCGAUUCCUUUCCUCCCCUUUCCCUUUCGUUGCCCUUCUCUCAACCGUCACCAUGAAGCGCGCCGUCGAUGACAUUAGCGGCGCCACCACCGCCACUGCUAAGAAACCUGUCUUCUUGACCAAAGCCCAACGCGAGCAGUUGGCUCUCGAGCGACGCCAAGAAGAAAUCCGGCAGCAGAAACUACAGCAGCAACAGCUUCUCUCUCAAAUCCGCCCUUCCUCGGACCCUAACAGCAACAGCAACCAAAAGCCCUCUGAUUCUGACCGACGUGACCGCGAG
This 388-nucleotide unclassified non-coding RNA is filed under the name Hevea brasiliensis (rubber tree). The record is from RNAcentral. Lineage: Eukaryota; Viridiplantae; Streptophyta; Magnoliopsida; Malpighiales; Euphorbiaceae.